UUUGGGGACAUAGCUCAGUUGGUAGAGUGCUUGCCUCCCAUGCACAAGGCCUUGAGUUCAAUCUCCAACACCACAAAA
Molecule: transfer RNA, 78 nt
Filed under: Marmota monax (woodchuck)
Lineage: Eukaryota; Metazoa; Chordata; Mammalia; Rodentia; Sciuridae
Description: tRNA.Gly
Source: RNAcentral